RNAcentral lists this ribosomal RNA (496 nucleotides) under Salmonella enterica subsp. enterica serovar Infantis. RNAcentral's name for it is "partial 23S ribosomal RNA". It matches the Rfam family "Bacterial large subunit ribosomal RNA", at positions 24 to 559 of the family's 2925-position model. RNAcentral also lists the same sequence under 1 other name. Lineage: Bacteria; Pseudomonadati; Pseudomonadota; Gammaproteobacteria; Enterobacterales; Enterobacteriaceae. The record is from RNAcentral.
GUGGAUGCCCUGGCAGUCAGAGGCGAUGAAGGGCGUGCUAAUCUGCGAUAAGCGCCGGUAAGGUGAUAUGAACCGUUAUAACCGGCGAUACCCGAAUGGGGAAACCCAGUGUGAUUCGUCACACUAUCAUUAACUGAAUCCAUAGGUUAAUGAGGCGAACCGGGGGAACUGAAACAUCUAAGUACCCCGAGGAAAAGAAAUCAACCGAGAUUCCCCCAGUAGCGGCGAGCGAACGGGGAGGAGCCCAGAGCCUGAAUCAGCAUGUGUGUUAGUGGAAGCGUCUGGAAAGGCGCGCGAUACAGGGUGACAGCCCCGUACACAAAAGCGCAUGUGCUGUGAGCUCGAUGAGUAGGGCGGGACACGUGGUAUCCUGUCUGAAUAUGGGGGGACCAUCCUCCAAGGCUAAAUACUCCUGACUGACCGAUAGUGAACCAGUACCGUGAGGGAAAGGCGAAAAGAACCCCGGCGAGGGGAGUGAAAAAGAACCUGAAACCGU